GGUUCAUUCAAAUUUCUGCCCUAUCAACUUUCGAUGGCAGGGUCUUGGCCUGCCAUGGUUACAACGGGUAACGGAGGGUUAGGGCUCGACCCCGGAGAAGGAGCCUGAGAAACGGCUACUACAUCCAAGGAAGGCAGCAGGCGCGCAAAUUACCCAAUCCCGACCGGGGAGGUAGUGACAAUAAAUACUGAUACAGGGCUCUUUUGGGUCUUGUAAUUGGAAUGAGUACAAUUUAAAUCCCUUAACGAGGAACAAUUGGAGGGCAAGUCUGGUGCCAGCAGCCGGGGUAAUUCCAGCUCCAAUAGCGUAUAUUAAAGUUGUUGCAGUUAAAAAGCUCGUAGUUG
Molecule: ribosomal RNA, 344 nt
Filed under: uncultured fungus
Lineage: Eukaryota; Fungi
Description: SSU rRNA
Rfam family: Eukaryotic small subunit ribosomal RNA
Source: RNAcentral